GCGCUCGUAGCUCAACCGGAUAGAGCAUCGGCCUUCUAAGCCGGGGGUUUUGGGUUCGAGUCCCAACGGGCGUA
Molecule: transfer RNA, 74 nt
Filed under: Candidatus Electryonea clarkiae
Lineage: Bacteria; Pseudomonadati; Candidatus Electryoneota; Candidatus Electryoneia; Candidatus Electryoneales; Candidatus Electryoneaceae
Description: tRNA-Arg
Rfam family: tRNA
About the family: Transfer RNA (tRNA) molecules are approximately 80 nucleotides in length. Their secondary structure includes four short double-helical elements and three loops (D, anti-codon, and T loops). Further hydrogen bonds mediate the characteristic L-shaped molecular structure. tRNAs have two regions of fundamental functional importance: the anti-codon, which is responsible for specific mRNA codon recognition, and the 3' end, to which the tRNAs corresponding amino acid is attached (by aminoacyl-tRNA synthetases). tRNAs cope with the degeneracy of the genetic code in two manners: having more than one tRNA (with a specific anti-codon) for a particular amino acid; and 'wobble' base-pairing, i.e. permitting non-standard base-pairing at the 3rd anti-codon position.
Source: RNAcentral